Molecule: transfer RNA, 84 nt
Filed under: Candidatus Gracilibacteria bacterium GN02-873
Lineage: Bacteria; Candidatus Altimarinota
Also listed under: 2 other names
Description: tRNA-Leu
Rfam family: tRNA
About the family: Transfer RNA (tRNA) molecules are approximately 80 nucleotides in length.
Source: RNAcentral
GCUCGGGUGGUGGAAUGGUAGACACGUACGCUUGAGGUGCGUAUGCCUAACGGUGUGGGGGUUCAAGUCCCCCCUCGAGCACCA